GAUGAACGCUGGCGGCGUGCCUAAUACAUGCAAGUCGAGCGAAUGGAUUAAGAGCUUGCUCUUAUGAAGUUAGCGGCGGACGGGUGAGUAACACGUGGGUAACCUGCCCAUAAGACUGGGAUAACUCCGGGAAACCGGGGCUAAUACCGGAUAAUAUUUUGAACUGCAUGGUUCAAAAUUGAAAGGCGGCUUCGGCUGUCACUUAUGGAUGGACCCGCGUCGCAUUAGCUAGUUGGUGAGGUAACGGCUCACCAAGGCAACGAUGCGUAGCCGAGCUGGGAGGGUGAUCGGCCACACUGGGACUGAGACACGGCACAGACUCCGACGGGAGGCAGCAGUAGGGAAUCUUCCGCAAUGGACGAAAGUCUGACGGAGCAACGCCGCGUGAGUGAUGAAGGCUUUCGGGUCGUAAAACUCUGUUGUUAGGGAAGAACAAGUGCUAGUUGAAUAAGCUGGCACCUUGACGGUACCUAACCAGAAAGCCACGGCUAACUACGUGCCAGCCGCCGCCGUAA
This 515-nucleotide ribosomal RNA is filed under the name uncultured bacterium. RNAcentral describes it as "partial 16S ribosomal RNA". It matches the Rfam family "Bacterial small subunit ribosomal RNA", at positions 28 to 523 of the family's 1533-position model. The record is from RNAcentral.